Molecule: long non-coding RNA, 600 nt
Filed under: Homo sapiens (human)
Lineage: Eukaryota; Metazoa; Chordata; Mammalia; Primates; Hominidae
Description: HSALNT0197333
Source: RNAcentral
GGUCACCAGGCUCUUCCACCUCCACAUCGAUCUGCAUGACCUCGUAGGAGGCGCCAUCCGCACUGGAGAGAAGACACAGAGGAGAACAGCUUUCAGGGACUGAUGAGAUGAGCUAUGGGUCCUACAAAACUGUCCAUAGGAAACUGGAAUGUCACACAGAGUAAGGGACAAUUCUUCAUGAUAUGAAACCACUGCACAUGCUGCAGGACACCUGUCAACCCAGGCCCUGCCUAUCUAUAAUGGCCAACAGGAAACCCCGGUGAUGAUGACAGCCAGAGACACACCCCACAACCUCCAAAGAGAUGAUCACAGCCAGAGACAUACCCCACAACCUCCAAAGAGAAGCUGAACUUGCUUCAUGUCUAAGAUCCGUAGUUUACCUUUUUAACAAGUCCUGACCUAAUGUGACUGGUGACCUUAAAAGAAGAGGAGAUUAAGAGACAGGUGCACACAGAGGAAAGAACAUAUGAAGGCAUCGGGAGAAGGCAGCAUCUACAAUCUUCAGAGAGAGGCCUCAGAAGGAUCCAAACCUGCCUGUACCUUGAUUUUGGCCUUCCAGCCUCCAGAACUGUGAGAAAAUAAACUCCUGUUGGUGAAGCA